GAUGAACGCUAGCGAUAGGCUUAACACAUGCAAGUCGAGGGGCAGCAGGGGAUUAGCUUGCUAAUUCUGCUGGCGACCGGCGCACGGGUGCGUAACGCGUAUGCAACUUGCCUGUUAGAGGGGGAUAACCCGUUGAAAGACGGACUAAUACCGCAUAUACUUUUAGUGUUGCAUGAUACGAAAAGGAAAGAUUUAUUGCUAACAGAUAGGCAUGCGUCCCAUUAGCUAGUUGGUGAGGUAACGGCUCACCAAGGCGACGAUGGGUAGGGGAACUGAGAGGUUGAACCCCCACACUGGUACUGAGACACGGACCAGACUCCUACGGGAGGCAGCAGUGAGGAAUAUUGGUCAAUGGGCGAGAGCCUGAACCAGCCAAGUCGCGUGAAGGAAGACUGUCUUAUGGAUUGUAAACUUCUUUUAUAAGAGAAUAAAAAGGCUUACGUGUAAGCUAUUGAAUGUAUCUUAUGAAUAAGCAUCGGCUAACUCCGUGCCAGCAGCCGCGGUAAUACGGAGGAUGCGAGCGUUAUCCGGAUUUAUUGGGUUUAAAGGGUGCGUAGGUGGUUUGAUAAGUCAGCGGUGAAAAGCAAUAGCUCAACUAUAGUCUUGCCGUUGAAACUGUUGAACUUGAGAGUAUUUGAGGUAGGCGGAAUGCGUGGUGUAGCGGUGAAAUGCAUAGAUAUCACGCAGAACUCCGAUUGCGAAGGCAGCUUACUAAACUACAACUGACACUGAAGCACGAAAAGCGUGGGUAUCAAAACAGGAUUAGAUACCCUGGUAGUCCACGCAGUAAACGAUGAUUACUGGGCGUAUGCGAUAUAAAGUAUGCUCCUAA
Molecule: ribosomal RNA, 832 nt
Filed under: uncultured bacterium
Lineage: Bacteria
Description: bacterial SSU rRNA
Rfam family: Bacterial small subunit ribosomal RNA
Source: RNAcentral